AUUGAACGCUGGCGGCAUGCCUUACACAUGCAAGUCGAACGGUAACAGGUCUUCGGAUGCUGACGAGUGGCGCACGGGUGCGUAAUACAUCGGAACGUGCCCGAUCGUGGGGGAUAACGAGGCGAAAGCUUUGCUAAUACCGCAUACGAUCUACGGAUGACAGCGGGGGAUCUUCGGACCUCGCGCGGCCGGAGCGGCCGAUGGCAGAUUAGGUAGUUGGUGGGGUAAAAGCUUACCAAGCCGACGAUCUGUAGCUGGUCUGAGAGGAUGAUCAGCCACACUGGGACUGAGACACGGCCCAGACUCCUACGGGAGGCAGCAGUGGGGAAUUUUGGACAAUGGGCGAAAGCCUGAUCCAGCCAUGCCGCGUGCAGGAUGAAGGCCUUCGGGUUGUAAACUGCUUUUGUACGGAAAGAAAAGCCUCUUUCUAAUAAAGAGGGGUCAUGACGGUACCGUAAGAAUAAGCACCGGCUAACUACGUG
This 482-nucleotide ribosomal RNA is filed under the name uncultured bacterium. Its description in RNAcentral is "partial 16S ribosomal RNA". It matches the Rfam family "Bacterial small subunit ribosomal RNA", at positions 30 to 507 of the family's 1533-position model. The record is from RNAcentral.